This 1003-nucleotide ribosomal RNA is filed under the name Limosilactobacillus fermentum. Its description in RNAcentral is "bacterial SSU rRNA". It matches the Rfam family "Bacterial small subunit ribosomal RNA", at positions 68 to 1055 of the family's 1533-position model. The record is from RNAcentral. Lineage: Bacteria; Bacillati; Bacillota; Bacilli; Lactobacillales; Lactobacillaceae.
GMMCUGAUGAUUUUGGUCGCCAACGAGUGGCGGACGGGUGAGUAACACGUAGGUAACCUGCCCAGAAGCGGGGGACAACAUUUGGAAACAGAUGCUAAUACCGCAUAACAACGUUGUUCGCAUGAACAACGCUUAAAAGAUGGCUUCUCGCUAUCACUUCUGGAUGGACUGCGGUGCAUUAGCUUGUUGGUGGGGUAAUGGCCUACCAAGGGCCGAUGAUGCAUAGCCGAGUUGAGAGACUGAUCGGCCACAAUGGGACUGAGACACGGCCCAUACUCCUACGGGAGGCAGCAGUAGGGAAUCUUCCACAAUGGGCGCAAGCCUGAUGGAGCAACACCGCGUGAGUGAAGAAGGGUUUCGGCUCGUAAAGCUCUGUUGUUAAAGAAGAACACGUAUGAGAGUAACUGUUCAUACGUUGACGGUAUUUAACCAGAAAGUCACGGCUAACUACGUGCCAGCAGCCGCGGUAAUACGUAGGUGGCAAGCGUUAUCCGGAUUUAUUGGGCGUAAAGAGAGUGCAGGCGGUUUUCUAAGUCUGAUGUGAAAGCCUUCGGCUUAACCGGAGAAGUGCAUCGGAAACUGGAUAACUUGAGUGCAGAAGAGGGUAGUGGAACUCCAUGUGUAGCGGUGGAAUGCGUAGAUAUAUGGAAGAACACCAGUGGCGAAGGCGGCUACCUGGUCUGCAACUGACGCUGAGACUCGAAAGCAUGGGUAGCGAACAGGAUUAGAUACCCUGGUAGUCCAUGCCGUAAACGAUGAGUGCUAGGUGUUGGAGGGUUUCCGCCCUUCAGUGCCGGAGCUAACGCAUUAAGCACUCCGCCUGGGGAGUACGACCGCAAGGUUGAAACUCAAAGGAAUUGACGGGGGCCCGCACAAGCGGUGGAGCAUGUGGUUUAAUUCGAAGCUACGCGAAGAACCUUACCAGGUCUUGACAUCUUGCGCCAACCCUAGAGAUAGGGCGUUUCCUUCGGGAACGCAAUGACAGGUGGUGCAUGGUCGUCGU